UCUUUGAAACUAACGACUCUCGGCAACGGAUAUCCCGGCUCUUGCAUCGAUGAAGAACGUAGCGAAAUGCGAUACUUGGUGUGAAUUGCAGAAUCCCGUGAACCAUCGAGUUUUUGAACGCAAGUUGCGCCCGAUGCCAUUAGGCUGAGGGCACGUCUGCCUGGGUGUCACGU
This 173-nucleotide ribosomal RNA is filed under the name Bupleurum baldense. RNAcentral's name for it is "5.8S ribosomal RNA". It matches the Rfam family "5.8S ribosomal RNA". Rfam says of the family: 5.8S ribosomal RNA (5.8S rRNA) is a component of the large subunit of the eukaryotic ribosome. It is transcribed by RNA polymerase I as part of the 45S precursor that also contains 18S and 28S rRNA. Lineage: Eukaryota; Viridiplantae; Streptophyta; Magnoliopsida; Apiales; Apiaceae. The record is from RNAcentral.